RNAcentral lists this ribosomal RNA (495 nucleotides) under uncultured bacterium. RNAcentral's name for it is "partial 16S ribosomal RNA". It matches the Rfam family "Bacterial small subunit ribosomal RNA", at positions 28 to 507 of the family's 1533-position model. The record is from RNAcentral.
GACGAACGCUGGUGGCGUGCCUAAUACAUGCAAGUAGAACGCUGAAGGAGGAGCUUGCUUCUCUGGAUGAGUUGCGAACGGGUGAGUAACGCGUAGGUAACCUGCCUGGUAGCGGGGGAUAACUAUUGGAAACGAUAGCUAAUACCGCAUAAGAGUAGAUGUUGCAUGACAUUUGCUUAAAAGGUGCAAUUGCAUCACUACCAGAUGGACCUGCGUUGUAUUAGCUAGUUGGUGAGGUAACGGCUCACCAAGGCAACGAUACAUAGCCGACCUGAGAGGGUGAUCGGCCACACUGGGACUGAGACACGGCCCAGACUCCUACGGGAGGCAGCAGUAGGGAAUCUUCGGCAAUGGACGGAAGUCUGACCGAGCAACGCCGCGUGAGUGAAGAAGGUUUUCGGAUCGUAAAGCUCUGUUGUAAGAGAAGAACGAGUGUGAGAGUGGAAAGUUCACACUGUGACGGUAUCUUACCAGAAAGGGACGGCUAACUACGUG